GUUUUAAGGCUCCCAAUUCUUCCACCAAGCAUGGUCCACCUUGGGUGUCAAAUUGGCAAGGGCAGCAGCCAUUUACUCUGGUUGGCUGCCCCCACUUAGAUCCAAUCUAAGUGGCCCUAAGGCUGACCCUAGGUUCAAUCUUAUUUGACCAGACCUAGCACACUUCUUAUAUUCGGAUUAUUUCUUUAGCCCUUUCUCUUCUCAAAUUAAAUUUGGAUAUUUUUGAUCCAAUUCAUGAGAAAACAAUCAACUGAAUCUCAUUCCAGUUGAUCUGAAGAUAGAUGGCACAUGCUACAUAUAAUUAGGAUAAGGCAGCUUAGGUUCCCACUGAUCAAAGGCAAGCCUCUUUAGGUCUAUUUAGUCCUAAUUUAGCUAUAUGGUGGUCUAUCAUGGGAGAUACGGUGCACUUAUUGCAUUACCAAAUUUCUUGGUAAGUAGGAUGAAACAAGUUGGCUUUCUUGUUCCUACUUAUAAUCCAAUCCUCUAUUAUUCUAAUGUCCCUGUAUAAACAUUGAACAUAGCAUCAUCAAGCC
Molecule: long non-coding RNA, 533 nt
Filed under: Elaeis guineensis (African oil palm)
Lineage: Eukaryota; Viridiplantae; Streptophyta; Magnoliopsida; Arecales; Arecaceae
Description: long non-coding RNA (EGUI_LNC003903)
Source: RNAcentral